CCUACGGGUGGCAGCAGUGAGGAAUAUUGGUCAAUGGGCGGACGCCUGAACCAGCCAAGUCGCGUGAGGGAAGACUGCCCUAUGGGUUGUAAACCUCUUUUGUCAGGGAGCAACGCCGGCUACGUGUAGCCGGACUGAGAGUACCUGAAGAAAAAGCAGCGGCUAACUCCGUGCCAGCAGCCGCGGUAAUACGGAGGAUGCGAGCGUUAUCCGGAUUUAUGGGGUUUAAAGGGUGCGUAGGCGGAAUGCCAAGUCAGCGGUAAAAUCGCGGGGCUCAACCUCGCUCCGCCGUUGAAACUGGCGUUCUUGAGGGGGCGAGACGUAUGCGGAAUGCGUGGUGUAGCGGUGAAAUGCAUAGAUAUCACGCAGAACUCCGAUUGCGAAGGCAGCAUACCGGCGCCCAACUGACGCUGAAGCACGAAAGCGUGGGUAUCGAACAGGAUUAGAUACCCCAGUAGUC
This 460-nucleotide ribosomal RNA is filed under the name uncultured bacterium. Its description in RNAcentral is "partial 16S ribosomal RNA". It matches the Rfam family "Bacterial small subunit ribosomal RNA", at positions 338 to 795 of the family's 1533-position model. The record is from RNAcentral.